AUAGUGGCGGACGGGUGAGUAACGCGUGGAUAACCUACCCAUAAGACCGGGACAACCCUUGGAAACGAGGGCUAAUACCGGAUAUCCUUAGGGCCUGGCAUCGGGUUUUAAGGAAAGGUGGCCUCUGAAUAUGCUAUCGUUUAUGGAUGGAUCCGCGUCUGAUUAGCUAGUUGGUGGGGUAAAGGCCUACCAAGGCGGCGAUCAGUAGCCGGCCUGAGAGGGUGAACGGCCACACUGGGACUGAGACACGGCCCAGACUCCUACGGGAGGCAGCAGUGGGGAAUCUUCCGCAAUGGACGAAAGUCUGACGGAGCAACGCCGCGUGUACGACGAAGGCCUUCGGGUUGUAAAGUACUGUCUUCAGGGACGAAUGGCAGAGGUGUGAAUAAUGCCUCUGCAUGACGGUACCUGAGGAGGAAGCCCCGGCUAACUACGUGCCAGCAGCCGCGGUAAUACGUAGGGGGCAAGCGUUGUCCGGAAUCAUUGGGCGUAAAGGGCGCGUAGGCGGAUCUUUAAGUCUGGUGUGAAAACCUAGAGCUCAACUCUAGGNCUGCAUCGGAAACUGGGGAUCUUGAGGACAGGAGAGGAAAGUGGAAUUCCACGUGUAGCGGUGAAAUGCGUAGAUAUGUGGAGGAACACCAGUGGCGAAGGCGACUUUCUGGACUGUAUACUGACGCUGAGGCG
RNAcentral lists this ribosomal RNA (684 nucleotides) under uncultured bacterium. RNAcentral describes it as "bacterial SSU rRNA". It matches the Rfam family "Bacterial small subunit ribosomal RNA", at positions 92 to 753 of the family's 1533-position model. The record is from RNAcentral.